Strigops habroptila (Kakapo) is the source of this 799-nucleotide long non-coding RNA. RefSeq lists it as uncharacterized. The record is from RefSeq and is a predicted model, not a curated record. Lineage: Eukaryota; Metazoa; Chordata; Aves; Psittaciformes; Psittacidae. The transcript is spliced from 2 exons.
UCUUACAGAAUACAUAAAGAAUAGCUGAACCUUUGAUCUGAUAGCAAAAAUUAAUUCCAUAGUUUUACAUGAAUUACAAAUGGUGUAAUCUCAGAUUAUCUCAUAACAAUAUAACAAUGAGAUAAUGCCUCUGUGUACUGUAAUAAAAGAAUUCUAGGGUGGUUCUCUAGAAAUGGAAUUUUGAAAGAAAACUUAUUAGAUGUGUUGUCUUCCUAUCACAGUAGUCAUCUAUAAUGUUGCAGCAACUUGAAAAGUAAUAUUUUCCUGUUUGUGCUUACAGUUGUUUAUACAUUCUAGAUGUAUAUUAAACCUGAUUAAACAUAGUAAUUAUCUUGUUUAUUUAUGGUUCAUAUAGUAGUCUGUAACAGCAGUAUAUUAUGUCCUUUAAAACUGUCAAACUGAUGUUAUUGAAAAGUUUCAAUAACUUUAUAAAAUGCAUUAAUUGAACUUGAUUAAUUUUGUUUCCAGCUUCAUUAAUUUUGCUGCACUGAACUGCAUAGUGAUUUAUCUCUAUGCUCCUAGUACAUCCAUGUCAUUUAGAAUUUUAUUGCCCCCUGCAGUUUCCAAUUAUCUGCAGUUGAUCAUGUUAGUGCUUAUUCUUCUUCCAGUUUGUUGAUAUAUAGUAUAAAGUGAACAUGUGUCCUACCACUGCCUCAUAUGACAUGCCAUUAGUCAUAUCUAUCUAUUUAAACUAAUAUCACCAAAAGGUGUCCUCUGAUUCCUGUUCUGUUCUUGUUAGCCUAUUACCUGCAAAACAUGCUUGCCUUUUCAGUUAAUACUGUUAAUAAACAACACUAAU